CAGCAAGCUGAUCACGGUCGGAGGAAACCUACAACUGUACCGACCCCCGAGCUCGGCGGCGGCGGCGGCGGCGGCCGAGCGACCAGUGGAGGUCGGCAUUGGUCGCUGGCGUCUCCUGGCAAUACAUAUGGCAUCACCAUCUGAUAUGCCGAAAGAGCCUCCUGCUGCGACAAUUCAGGUUCAGGUGCAAUGGUGCGGCACCGAUUAUCCUGUGGGUGUAAAAGCAGAUGCGGAUAUAGGGGAAUUGAAGCGAAAAGCAUGUGAGGUGACGGGGCUCCCUUCAAAAAGGCAAAAACACAUGAACCCUAAGAACAAGGAGUACAAUGAUGACCAUCCCAUUGGCUUGCUCCAACCACCUCACAUGACAGAUCUCAUCAGUUUGAAUAACAAGGUUGCACACGACAUAUACAAGGAUCAUUUCUUUGGGGAGAAACCGACAUGCAGCGUGAAGGCUACAAAGGACCGCAUUGUAGAUUUCGAUGGGUCAAGAACAAAGCUGUACAAAGGAAAAUAUCAAGUAGGGAGCAUGGAGAUUCAGUGCCUUAUCAAGUUCUAGUGUUCUACCAGCCAGAAGACAGAGCUGACCUUCUUCGUUCGAUCGAACUGAUGCGAACUUGGAAGCAUCCAAAUUUGUUGGUGAUGGAAACUCUGUACAAGGAGACAGGUAACCAAGUUCAGCGUCUUGUGCUAUCACCAGACACAGUCAAUGGCUCGUUGCAAGGAUACAUCAACUCAAGGAAGGAAAAGGGAGAAGAUGUGAUUUCAAAAGCCAACGGCUCCUUUACUGACUUCUUUCUAAAGAUGAUACUAGAUCUUUGUGCUGUGUUGGACCAAAUGGUGAAGCGCAGAGUAUGCCCAAGAAAACUUGGUAUGCAAAACUUAUAUCUCAAGAGCGUGGAGAAUGCUGAACCAGAACUGAAAAUACUUUUCGACAAGGGUAAUCUAUUUUCUGCGCAUUCUUCAUUUUAUCGGUGAAGCAUAUGAUUUUUUUAUGGAAAUCAGAUGAAGACCAUAUUUUAUUGGAUUAAAGUUUUAGCUUCUUUUAGAUGAUUUGUUGUAGUGACUGCAGAAAAAUAUUGCCCAAACUCUGACUCAAUGUAGUUGAAAGGGGAAUCCUACUGCAUAUAUAGAGAGAAUCCUACUGCAUAUAAUUAAACACUGCAGACCAAAGUACUAUUAUGCAAAUAUUUUUACUUGACUUGUGAGGGUUUAAAGACAGACAAGAAUCUGCAAAUCAAUUGCUAUCUGAUUUCAAAUGAAUGAUGGAACAUAAUUACAUUUAUAUAUGUAACUUCGCUCAAAUAGGUCCACUUUCCAGCUACAAAUGACAAAAAUGUAAGUAAACUACAAACUUAGGAUUGAAACAAUGUGGCUUAUUGAAAACAACUCUGCUUUCCUGCUUACAGGCUGUUCCUGCUCACAACAUGCAAUUAGACUUAAUUCUACACCUAUUCCUUUGCCAAUCAACAAAUAGUAUGACUUGACUGCCAAGUUCACAAUUACAUCAUGAAGAGAGGUAGUAUGUAUCAUAAGAACACAAAAAAAUAAUGUGGGGAACUUUAUCAUAUCCUCCAAAUGUCAAUAAAAAAGUGAGUAAAAGUCAACUCAUGAGCAGGUAAUGGGGAUUAGGGAGUAGAAUUGAAAAAACAUGGAAGUAUAGGCAUAGUCCGAUCAUAGUUUUCAGAUUUGAUCUACAUGAGUUAUUUAUUGUGAUGAAGUGCAUUACUGUCAGUGCCGUAAAGUGAUUGCAUACAUCUAUAGGUUUAUUAAUGGAACUCUAGUGCAUGGGUUUCACAAGGCUCUCACCCUUGAUCAUUCCUCUCUCUCCCUGUAACCUCCCCAUCUUCCGCCGGUGUCAACUCCACCCAGUCAAGAUGCUGCCCUUCCCUGACCUGGGCUACUCGCCUACUCCUCUUUUUACCCUACUCACCAUGUUCAUAUAGAUUUGUAGGCUUAUAGAUGCUGUAUUAUCAGUCACAAUAUACUACUAGCAAUACAACACUAGAGCUGCCAAGCAUAGCUCAUACACAUUUUGUUCACCUGCUGACCACCUUAUGUACUGUGGUCUGCAGUGUUUAAUUAAAUGUGUAUAAUACACAUGCUGUAUUAUCAGUCACAAUAUACUACUAGCAAUACAACACUAGAGCUGCCAAGCAUAGCUCAUACACAUUUUGUCCCUUGACCAUCAAGGUAAAUAUCUCGAUGUCUUGUAAUGAUUUUAUAUUGUUUCAUGAAGAAGCAAUAUGGUAACAGGAAUUAUUUGAUGGCAGGCAUUCUUGAAGAGUAAAGACGAAAUACUGGCUGCUCUGGAGAAAUGGUGCCCCAACGUUUGGUUUCUCUUGUACAAUGCCGUUGGUUUAGUCUGAUGAAGUGCCGACCAAAGAUGGUUAUGAUAUUGCCAUGUGGUCUCAUUUCAAGUAGGAUAGUUUGACAUGGAUGGGUUUACCUUGUCUGACAUAUCAUGCAUGUUUGAUUGAUCCCUCUGAAGCAUGGUUUGAACUGUUACCACUUGACUAGUAGUAAUCUUCAGUCUGAGCCUGCAAAGGAAUCUGCUAAAAAAGGCUGUGUUGAUGAUGUUGUUUAGAAGGGAGCAGAAGUUGGUUAAUGAGAUUUCUGUGAAUUGUUUGUUGUAUUUGCUGAAUUAAUAUCUUGGUGAUUCGAUGCUCCGAUAAUUCGCAAGAGCGCUCGUCCGCGCCUGCUCACGGAAUCGGUUGGCGUCCAUCGGGGUCGAGAGAAUUAGCGCGUGUGGUAUUCUGCCAUAGUGGUCUACGGAUAUUUUAAUGCGAGGGGAGAUGGGAGAGGGAUGACGUUUGUAUCUAGCGGAGCGACGGUCGUUAGAGGAUAGCGGCAACGUUAAGAUACGUGGGCGUUUAUCUCGCUUUGCCUGCGCAACCGCUGCUGCAUGGUUUGGUUGCUGUGUGUCCUCUAUGCGGCGCCGAUACCCAACUUGUAGAAACAAAUUCAGGAGAAAAGCAGAGUUUCAUCAGUAGUUGGGUGUGAGCUGACGGAUUAUGAAGUAACUUAAGGAGACUAACCUCGGAGGGGAGCUGAUGGUGAUGCAAGUCGCCGGGUCGGCCAUUCAUAUGUAGGCAGAUAGCUUUUGUUUGUGGCUGAAAGACGUGACAUGAACUGAGUGUACACAGCUUCAGCUUUGCUUUCGAGUUGCGUGAACAUAUGUAGCAGCGGUUCAUUGUGCCGAGCUUCCGUUUUGCUGGCCAAAGUGGUUGCUGGUGGUAUGUGAUCUGUAGCAAAGUUGAGCAUGCCUUCGCGAAUCUUUGAGCAGACCUCUGCGGCAAUGAACUGACGAGCAACAUUUUCGACAGCAGCCCCUGAGUAGAUGGAGCCCUCGAGCAGUGUUGGGUGGAUGC
This is a long non-coding RNA of Triticum aestivum (bread wheat), 3368 nucleotides long. RefSeq lists it as uncharacterized. The transcript has 5 exons. NCBI's taxonomy places the organism in Eukaryota, Viridiplantae, Streptophyta, Magnoliopsida, Poales, Poaceae. The record is from RefSeq and is a predicted model, not a curated record.